CAAUAGCGUAUAUUAAAGUUGUUGCAGUUAAAAAGCUCGUAGUUGGAUUUCUGGUGGGAGCGAUCGGUCUGGCGCUUAGCGCGAGUACUUGCAUCGUCUCCGGCCAUCCUUGGGGAGAGUCUGUCUGGCAUUAGGUUGUCGGGCAGAGGAUCCUCAUCGUUUACUGUGAAAAAAUUAGAGUGUUCAAAGCAGGCUUAUGCCGUUGAAUAUAUUAGCAUGGAAUAAUAAGAUAGGACUUUGGUACUAUUUUGUUGGUUUGCGCACCAAAGUAAUGAUUAAUAGGGACAGUUGGGGGUAUUCGUAUUCAAUUGUCAGAGGUGAAAUUCUUGGAUUUAUGGAAGACGAACUACUGCGAAAGCAUUUACCAAGGAUGUUUUCAUUAA
Molecule: ribosomal RNA, 383 nt
Filed under: uncultured eukaryote
Lineage: Eukaryota
Description: partial 18S ribosomal RNA
Rfam family: Eukaryotic small subunit ribosomal RNA
Source: RNAcentral